RNAcentral lists this ribosomal RNA (320 nucleotides) under Allapsidae sp. RNAcentral's name for it is "SSU rRNA". The stretch from base 101 to 320 matches the Rfam family "Eukaryotic small subunit ribosomal RNA", at positions 734 to 955 of the family's 1831-position model. The record is from RNAcentral. Lineage: Eukaryota; Cercozoa; Glissomonadida; Viridiraptoridae.
GAUUUCUGGCUUGGCAUGCUUAACCCGCCGGCUCUGCUGUGUGUGUGCUAAGCGUGUCUGCCAUCCUUCUAGAGAACGGUUUCGCCAUUUACUUGGAUGACUCCGCAAUCUAGAUCUUUUACUUUGAAAAAAUUAGAGUGUUUAAAGCAGGCUUUUGCUAUGAAUACAUUAGCAUGGAAUAAUAAUUUAGGACUUCGGUUCUAUUUUGUUGGUUUCUAGGACUGAAGUAAUGAUUGAUAGGGAUAGUUGGGGGUGCUAGUAUUCAGAGGCCAGAGGUGAAAUUCUCGGAUUCUCUGAAGACUAACUUAAGCGAAAGCAUU